AGGGCUAUAGCUCAGUUAGGUAGAGCACCUCAAGGUCUACGGUUCGAGUCCGUAUAGUCCUA
This 62-nucleotide transfer RNA is filed under the name Tylosema esculentum (marama bean). Its description in RNAcentral is "tRNA-Val". It matches the Rfam family "tRNA". Rfam says of the family: Transfer RNA (tRNA) molecules are approximately 80 nucleotides in length. Lineage: Eukaryota; Viridiplantae; Streptophyta; Magnoliopsida; Fabales; Fabaceae. The record is from RNAcentral.